RNAcentral lists this transfer RNA (66 nucleotides) under Urocitellus parryii (Arctic ground squirrel). RNAcentral describes it as "Spermophilus parryii (Arctic ground squirrel) tRNA". It matches the Rfam family "tRNA". From Rfam's summary of the family: Transfer RNA (tRNA) molecules are approximately 80 nucleotides in length. Their secondary structure includes four short double-helical elements and three loops (D, anti-codon, and T loops). RNAcentral also lists the same sequence under 1 other name. Lineage: Eukaryota; Metazoa; Chordata; Mammalia; Rodentia; Sciuridae. The record is from Rfam by way of RNAcentral.
UUUAUAGCUUUGUUUGUAGAGUGCUUGCCUUGUAUGUAUAGGGCCCUGGGUUCAAUUCCCAGUAAA